CGGAUCAGGUAAGGGUGAAACGGCGGGGUAAGAGCCCACCGCAGGGAUGGUGACAUCGCUGGCACGGUAAGCGUCGCCCGGUGCAAGGCCAAAUAGGAAGACACGUAUCGCACUCGCGAGAGUGCGGCACAACGACUGGCCCGGUCGAGGUCUUCGGGUAGGUCGCUCGAGGUUCGGGGCAAUCCGAAUCCCAGAGAAAUGAUCACCCACGCAUGGACUCCGGUUCAUGCUGGACAGAAUCCGGCUUAUAGGUUUCCUCGCUCG
This 264-nucleotide RNase P RNA is filed under the name Nitrospira sp. RNAcentral describes it as "partial RNase P RNA component class A". It matches the Rfam family "Bacterial RNase P class A", at positions 140 to 367 of the family's 367-position model. Rfam says of the family: Ribonuclease P (RNase P) is a ubiquitous endoribonuclease, found in archaea, bacteria and eukarya as well as chloroplasts and mitochondria. Its best characterised activity is the generation of mature 5'-ends of tRNAs by cleaving the 5'-leader elements of precursor-tRNAs. The record is from RNAcentral. Lineage: Bacteria; Pseudomonadati; Nitrospirota; Nitrospiria; Nitrospirales; Nitrospiraceae.